This 377-nucleotide ribosomal RNA is filed under the name uncultured bacterium. RNAcentral describes it as "bacterial SSU rRNA". It matches the Rfam family "Bacterial small subunit ribosomal RNA", at positions 521 to 896 of the family's 1533-position model. The record is from RNAcentral.
UAAUACGUAGGGACCAAGCGUUGUUCGGAUUUACUGGGCGUAAAGGGUGCGUAGGCGGCGCGUCAAGUCAGUUGUGAAAUCUUAAGGCUUAACCUUAAACGGUCAACUGAUACUGUCGUGCUAGAGUGCAGAAAGGGCAAUCGGAAUUCUUGGUGUAGCGGUGAAAUGCGUAGAUAUCAAGAGGAACACCUGAGGCGAAGGCGGGUUGCUUGGCUGACACUGACGCUGAGGCACGAAAGCUAGGGUAGCAAACGGGAUUAGAUACCCCGGUAGUCCUAGCCCUAAACGAUGAAUGCUUGGUGUCUGGAGUUUCAAUUCUCCGGGUGCCGUCGCUAACGUUUUAAGCAUUCCGCCUGGGGAGUACGUACGCAAGUAUG